CUAUGAAGAAAAGAGGAAGACAAAAGAGCUCUAAGAUCUCUUCUCUCUCUCUCUCUCUCUCUCUGGGUGCGAUCCCAUCUCUCUCUCUCUCUCAAUCAUUGUGAAAUCCAUUGGUGAGUACAUAGAAAGAGGAAUUUAAGGCAAAUAACCUUGAAGAAUUGCACAAGAUAAUUCAUGCUGUUGUUUGUGCUGAUCUCACAGUGAAGAAAUCUGAUAAGGAACCACCCCAGGACACUAUAAAAGUUUAUGGUUCAACUUAAAGAAGCUCACAUAUGAAGAAAGGAAGAACCAGUUAAUUGAAGGAUUGACUAAAUUUGGGCAGUGGCAUAAAUUUUCAAAGGUAUAUAGCCUAAAUUUUUCUCCCUAAUUUUGUCUUUAUUUUUGAUGAAAUAUGGAAGAAUGUGAAUUUUUUAUGCUGAGGAAUGUGGAUUUUGUAUGCUGGAAGAAUUAUAUGUUAUGUGUUUUUUUGUAUGCUAGAAGUAUGGAGAUUGAAGAUUGAAGAUUGUACAUUAUCAGUGUUUGAUUUGUUUACCUAAAGAGCUUUUCUUUUAUGUUGUCUAACCUUUUUGGAUAAACUUUUCUUUGGGAACAUGGAUACAACCUUUUCUCUUUGGGGACAUGUUUACAACCUUUCUUUAUCAUAGUGUUGGGAAUGAGGAGUGUACUUGAUUAGGCUGGUAAAAUUUCUGCCUGAAAGUCUUUGCACACUUUUCAAUUUAUUAGAGUUGAUUUUCUCUAGAUUGCAUCAUUCAUUUCAUAAGCACCCUUAUUUGGUAGUCAGUGAAGCAUAUUAUUCAUUUAAAUUUGACAAAUAAUGCACAUGCCGUAUAGAGAAACCUGGCUUUCCUUGUGUCCAUGCAUUUGCAGCAUGUAAGCAUCGACAUAUUUCUCCAUAUAUCCUUUGCUCGGCACAUUACUCAGUUGACUCACUCCGUAACGCAUAUUCGGAAACCAUAUAUCCACUUGGAUAUAAAUAUCAGUGGCAUGCUCCAAAUGAUGUCAUAAACCAGCUUGUACUUCCACCUAAGAUUGGCAAACAGGCAGGAAGACCAAGAAAGAAGAGGAUUCAAUCUCAAGGAGAGGAGCGUCAUCAAUAUAGAUGUGGGAGGUGCAAACAGAUUGGUCACAGCAGCCGAUCAUGCUCGGCCGCCGUACCUCUUUAUAGCACUACCAACCAACAGCACCAUUCAACUGAAGGACCAUAAAUCGCUCUACGCUAUAUUAAGACAAUGGGGGCAUGUUAUAUGGUAUGCGUGUGUUAUGCAAUGUAGUAAGGAAUGCAAUUAGUAGUUCCACCACAUAACAUGUGUGUUGGCAUAAUAGAUGUUGGUUUUAUGUGUUGUUUUGUUGGAAAAGUUAUCUGUCGUAUUGUGUUGAUAAAAUAUCAAUGACCCUAACAGAAAAAACCCUAAAAGUUCAGAAAAAGUUCUCAAAUUGGCAAAAAUAUUUGAUUACCGUAGGUUUCAUCGGUAAUUACCGAAACCCUUGUGGUAAUCAUAUUUUACCAAUUUUUUUGGCUCCCAC
Molecule: long non-coding RNA, 1524 nt
Organism: Ziziphus jujuba (common jujube)
Lineage: Eukaryota; Viridiplantae; Streptophyta; Magnoliopsida; Rosales; Rhamnaceae
Exons: 3
Source: RefSeq, a predicted model, not a curated record